This 301-nucleotide ribosomal RNA is filed under the name uncultured bacterium. Its description in RNAcentral is "partial 16S ribosomal RNA". It matches the Rfam family "Bacterial small subunit ribosomal RNA", at positions 509 to 807 of the family's 1533-position model. The record is from RNAcentral.
CAGCAGCCGCGGUAAUACGAAGGGUGCAAGCGUUACUCGGAAUUACUGGGCGUAAAGCGUGCGUAGGUGGUGGUUUAAGUCCGUUGUGAAAGCCCUGGGCUCAACCUGGGAAUUGCAGUGGAAACUGGGUCACUAGAGUGUGGUAGAGGAUAGUGGAAUUUCCGGUGUAGCAGUGAAAUGCGUAGAGAUCGGAAGGAACAUCUGUGGCGAAGGCGACUAUCUGGGCCAACACUGACACUGAGGCACGAAAGCGUGGGGAGCAAACAGGAUUAGAUACCCCGGUAGUCCCUGUCUCUUAUAC